CACCUGGCCGCCAAACAUAAGCGACCUUAGAGGGUGAUCGGCCACCACUGGGACUGAGACACGGCCCCAGACUCCCUACGGGUAGGCAGCAGUAAGGGAAUCUUCGGCAAUGGGGGCAAACCCCUGGACCCGAGCAACCCCGCGUGAGUGAAGAAGGUUUUUCGGAUCGUAAAAGCUUCUGUUGUAAAGUCAAAGAACGAGUGUGAGAGUGGAAAAGUUUCACACUGUGACGGUAGCUUACCAGAAAGGGGACGGCUAACUACGUGCCAGCAGCCGCGGUAAUACGUAGGGUCCCGGAGCGUUGUCCGGAUUUAUUGGGCGUAAAGCGAGCGCAGGCGGUUUGAUAAGUCUGAAGUUAAAAGGCUGUGGCUCAACCAUAGUUCGCUUUGGAAACUGUCAAACUUGAGUGCAGAAGGGGAGAGUGGAAUUCCAUGUGUAGCGGUGAAAUGCGUAGAUAUAUGGAGGAACACCGGUGGCGAAAGCGGCUCUCUGGUCUGUAACUGACGCUGAGGCUCGAAAGCGUGGGGAGCGAACAGG
This 537-nucleotide ribosomal RNA is filed under the name uncultured Streptococcus sp. RNAcentral describes it as "bacterial SSU rRNA". It matches the Rfam family "Bacterial small subunit ribosomal RNA", at positions 266 to 776 of the family's 1533-position model. Lineage: Bacteria; Bacillati; Bacillota; Bacilli; Lactobacillales; Streptococcaceae. The record is from RNAcentral.